UCUAAACAUUUAAUAGUAAUCCUACAGGCUUGGGCUGUUAAAAGUACUGCUAAGUGCAAUUCUUUCCCUAGCUUAAGAAAGCUGCCUGGGUCUGUGAGUGUUUGUUUAGUAAAUAAUAUGUUUAACCAGAAUGUGUCAUUCCAAGUGCACACAUGUGCAAGAUGGCAAAUUUGGUUUUGUUCAAAGGAGAGCUUAACCUGCCAUGAAAAGGAGCAGCAUGCCAAGCCAAAGAAACUUCAGUGUCAGUACUGUGAUUUCCAAGGCAGCGCAUUGGCGGUAGGUGUUCAUUGUGUACGAAAACAUCCGGAGCACUCCCGUCAUGAACAGAGUUUCAAGCAUGGAAGGACCAGUAUGAGGCUGACACCGGAGCGGUGUACAACAUCGCUUCCAGCCGACCCCGGAACGGUACAACCGCCCGCCACUUGUGCUCCCGUGUACCUGUACCGUGUACCUCCCGGUCCGGCGUGUACGCACCGGCGGGGACCGGGAAGAGGCGGCUCAAGUCGCAGGGCAUGUGCAAGCUGGGCUGCCGCUGCACGUCGGAUGUCAUGGCGACUAUUCGAGAGGACGACACGGUGCUGGUGACGGUGCACCCAUUCCAUUAUGGCCACAGCAUGGGUAUUAGCAACAUCCCACGUCAGGAUCCCCAGCCUCCACAAAGCUGCCAUUAAGGAAAAGCUGCUGACUGGGGUGUCAAUGUCUCGCAUCAUGAAGGAUGUCCGUGAGGCGUUCUGGGCUGAAGCGGCAGCAGGCACCAGUUCCAGUCGUUCAUAUUGACUCCAGCGGCGCGACCUCCACAACAUGUGUCGGUCUGUCGGUAUCACAGCAGCGGAUGGCGGUGCGGUGAAGAACCGCAACGAAGUGAUCAGCGUGCAGAUGUUCGCAGAGGAGAUACGAUCAUCGGAUCAGCAGCACCUGGUGGCCUUCAAACCUCCAGGUGAAGCGGACAGCAACGGCGCGCUCCGAGAUGAAGACUUCGUGCUUGCUUCCUGCUCAUCAUCUCAGCUGGCGAAGUUCGUACAGCACGGUGCAAAGUUUGUGUGCAUGGAUGGCACGCACGGCACCAGCGGUAAUAAUUUAUUUGCCCUUCAUUCGCUAAUGGCGCAUCCGUUAUUCAUUCACUAAUGCUUCGUACUUCCUUAAUAAGCAUAAUGCUACGGUCUCCUGUAACUGGAGACGUUCUGGAUGGUGACAACUUCUCUCAAUGCAAUACACUUUAUCUGAUAGUUGAGACUACUUUCGUAACUGGCCAUAGGCUACCAGGGGCGCGAUAUGCAGAUAUGACGGAAUCAGGUAGCAACGAGGCUUCAGAAUGCAACAAAGCAAUGGUAUCGUCAUUCGUUGGAUGUGUGUAAUGAAAGCAGCGCUACACCUUGACUGCGCGAACCGCUUUUCGUUCACCUUUACGGUAAUUGUAAACGAUGAUGGAUACCAUGUGUCAGCAAUAGGCCAGAUCUCCGCGAGGCUGUUGGUUGAACGGAGAAUGCAAACAACAUCCGUCAGAACAUACACUUUGUCAGGGACAACCCGCAAAUGUACAGCGUACCAGUCCUUAGAUGUAAGGGAGCGGUGUGCUAUUGAGUCCUUUUUAUUUUAUGCCAUUUCUUCAAGUGUGCAUAGCUAUUUUGGUACACUGCAGCACGAUGUACGCACGCUGUGUGCAAUCUCCAAACAUGUGUCACUGGGCAAGUUAGUGUGCGUAUUUUUCCACUCUACAGGUCACGAUUUUCAUCUCAUAACGCUGCUGGUGGUGACGGAGACGGGAGCCGGCAUGCCAGUGGCCUGACUCAUCUCGAGCAGAGAGGACAAGCCUGCCAUAUCAUCCAUGCUGACUGGCCUGGUCCGCACCUGCGAGGAGCUGGAGCUGCCGUUUCCCACCGUCCGGUUUCUUAUGACAGACAAGGUUAUGGCCUUUUAUAACGCCUGGCUGGCGAGCACCCGCCAGCAUGACACUCAACACAUCCUCGGCGCCUGGCACGUCCUGAAAGCAUGGAAGGGCAAGCUGGCGAUGGUAACCGUAAGUUGUUCUGUUCGCCACGCGAAAUUUGGACUAUAAUGCUUCAGGCACGCUGUUUGUGCAGUGGACACGGCCGUGACUCCACGAAGUAUUCGUAAACCCCAGAGUUGGAUCGUGUGAUAGUCUGACAGUCCAUGGGGACCAGCACUGUCUUCAUAACUUUUGCUUGGUGUUCCCUCAGUCAGUAUGUUGCUGCGGUGCCAGGUCGCCGAUAUCGAGACCUGUUUUCGGCCGGUGUACCUCACCUUUUCCAUUUUUAUCGAAUGGGAAGGUGCAGCAACAGUGCACUGCAGCGUUCCACAAGUGUUUGUCCAAAUAGCUGUUAGUAGCUCAAGUGGCUUAUUCAUACAUUUUGCUGGAAACGACAUGACCGUGUGGCCGUAAAAUGUUACCAGAAGUGUAGCUGGCCGUGGCUAGCGGGACUUCCCGUUCAGCUGAGGUGUUGAGUCGCUUCAAAGCGCUGACAUCUCUGAAACGCCCGACCUCGUUCGGAGUAACCUGUAGUGCUAAAUGGCAAGCUCCCUUACCCGAUUAACUACAAAAAAGCCUGUGGAGAUCCGUCAUGUGGAGAAAAGAGAUCGUCAUGGGUUGAUUUGCAAUCGUACGUGCUUCACGGAAUGAAUAAGUGUGCUCAGUUCAGUCUGCGUGAAUUGCAUUUGCCCUAAGCACGUGGGUUCGAAUCCCACCUUUGGCAAUACUCUACUAGCCAGAGACCGGUGUGCUUUUGGACAAUCGCUAUGUACGCGGACAUAACUAGUGUUUUAUCCACGGGGUUAGACAUACAUUUAUAAUGAGCAUGUACACAUCAAUGAACUGGGUCAAUAUUUAUGAAUGGAUGAUUUCUGCAACGUGUGCUGCGCAGACGGAAAAUCGUACCGUACCGGUAACGGCCCUCCUCGGAUGAAGAAAGUGGCAUUUUUGGUGGGAAGAUGUUGACCAUGCUUACCAUAUUUAGGCUACGAGCGAUAACCUCUGCCCACUUCAUGUCCGUCUCGUUUCGUGCACAGAAACUAUUAACUUCCGCUCGCCAUACAGCAUUAAUUGUUAUGUGGCCAGAGUUCUUAUACAUGAUAUUGUCAAAACUUAAAUUCUAACAUUCUAAUUCUAAGAUGGUGAUUUUGUCAAAACUAGACGUUUCAAGCUGUGCUUACCAUGGUUUGUGACCCCAUGAUCGCUCGUGAUCGUCUCUGUUCACUGAUCUGAUCAAGCACCCGCAAGCACUGGUUUCAAGCUAUGUUUGUAAAAUAUAGUAAGACUAGCAAAGCAACAUGACCUGUAACCCCGCCCCUAUUCAUUUAAGAUGGAAAACUUUCCAUUGCCAAUUUGUAACAAAAUCUUGAGAGCAUAGGUUGAGAUCAGAUCCCGAUCUUCACCAACCGGCACCACAGCAUCAUAUCAAGGCGUAAAAGUAUGGGCACAUUAGUGCAUCAGACGACGCGCUCGCAAAGAACAUGGAAUCCGCCUGUUUUGUAGUUUUUUAAAAUUUGUAUGGCCUUCAGGCAACCGGGUCAGGUGGUAUCUUGAAAAUAGCCGCACGUCGCAGGCGAAGGGGCUUCUAAAAAUCGUUAACGAUUUAGAGACGUUAUAAAGCACAAGGUAUUGUGCUUUAUUGUGGAUCACCGGGAGCAGGGCCAGUACCUGACGGGAGGACAUCUGAGAUUAACGUCGGUAUGGUCUUCCCUGAAUGAAUUUAUUUAGAUUGUUUGACGUUACCGAGACCAGAGAAAAGGGCUUGCAAACAGUGCGGUGCAUAGGGACGCAGACAUGUAACACAGAGCGAGCCAUUGCCUGUCAGACACAUUUAGGGGAUACGGCCACUUCUAGGUUCAGUGCACUGAUGUAGCCUUCUAGAAGGGUUCCCAAAGGCGAUUGGCUGCUUUCGCUUUCACUUGCAGGCCUUCUAUAACCUGGUGCACUCAACUGUGGAAAGGCGUCUUGCCCCUUGAG
Long non-coding RNA from Pollicipes pollicipes, 3964 nucleotides. RefSeq lists it as uncharacterized. The transcript is spliced from 5 exons. NCBI's taxonomy places the organism in Eukaryota, Metazoa, Arthropoda, Thecostraca, Pollicipedomorpha, Pollicipedidae. The record is from RefSeq and is a predicted model, not a curated record.